GUACCCUCAAGCUUUGCUUGGUGUUGGGCGUCUUGUCUCCAGUCCGCUGGAGACUCGCCUUAAAGUCAUUGGCAGCCGGCCUACUGGUUUCGGAGCGCAGCACAAGUCGCACUCUUUUCCAGCCAAGGUCAGCGUCCAACAAGCCUUUUUUCAAC
This 155-nucleotide unclassified non-coding RNA is filed under the name Alternaria chlamydosporigena. RNAcentral describes it as "partial internal transcribed spacer 2". The record is from RNAcentral. Lineage: Eukaryota; Fungi; Ascomycota; Dothideomycetes; Pleosporales; Pleosporaceae.